GACGAACGCUGGCGGCGUGCUUAACACAUGCAAGUCGAACGGAAAGGCCCUGCUUUUGUGGGGUGCUCGAGUGGCGAACGGGUGAGUAACACGUGAGUAACCUGCCCUUGACUUUGGGAUAACUUCAGGAAACUGGGGCUAAUACCGGAUAGGAGCUCCUGCUGCAUGGUGGGGGUUGGAAAGUUUCGGCGGUUGGGGAUGGACUCGCGGCUUAUCAGCUUGUUGGUGGGGUAGUGGCUUACCAAGGCUUUGACGGGUAGCCGGCCUGAGAGGGUGACCGGCCACAUUGGGACUGAGAUACGGCCCAGCCUCCUACGGGGGGCAGCAGUGGGGAAUAUUGCACAAUGGGCGGAAGCCUGAUGCAGCAACGCCGCGUGCGGGAUGACGGCCUUCGGGUUGUAAACCGCUUUCGCCUGUGACGAAGCGUGAGUGACGGUAAUGGGUAAAGAAGCACCGGCUAACUACGUG
RNAcentral lists this ribosomal RNA (468 nucleotides) under uncultured bacterium. RNAcentral's name for it is "partial 16S ribosomal RNA". It matches the Rfam family "Bacterial small subunit ribosomal RNA", at positions 28 to 507 of the family's 1533-position model. The record is from RNAcentral.